UACACUCCUGCGGGAGGCAGCAGUGGGGAAUUUUGGACAAUGGGCGAAAGCCUGAUCCAGCAAUGCCGCGUGAGUGAAGAAGGCCUUCGGGUUGUAAAGCUCUUUUGUCAGGGAAGAAACGGUGAGAGCUAAUAUCUUUUGCUAAUGACGGUACCUGAAGAAUAAGCACCGGCUAACUACGUGCCAGCAGCCGCGGUAAUACGUAGGGUGCAAGCGUUAAUCGGAAUUACUGGGCGUAAAGCGUGCGCAGGCGGUUUUGUAAGUCUGAUGUGAAAUCCCCGGGCUCAACCUGGGAAUUGCAUUGGAGACUGCAAGGCUAGAAUCUGGCAGAGGGGGGUAGAAUUCCACGUGUAGCAGUGAAAUGCGUAGAUAUGUGGAGGAACACCGAUGGCGAAGGCAGCCCCCUGGGUCAAGAUUGACGCUCAUGCACGAAAGCGUGGGGAGCAAACAGGAUUAGAUACCCUGGUAGUCCCA
RNAcentral lists this ribosomal RNA (474 nucleotides) under uncultured organism. RNAcentral's name for it is "partial 16S ribosomal RNA". It matches the Rfam family "Bacterial small subunit ribosomal RNA", at positions 332 to 797 of the family's 1533-position model. The record is from RNAcentral.